This 659-nucleotide ribosomal RNA is filed under the name uncultured bacterium. Its description in RNAcentral is "bacterial SSU rRNA". It matches the Rfam family "Bacterial small subunit ribosomal RNA", at positions 58 to 737 of the family's 1533-position model. The record is from RNAcentral.
CAAGUCGAACGAUGAUAGAGAGCUUGCUUUCUUGAUUAGUGGCGCACGGGUGAGUAAUGCAUAGAUAAUGUGCCCCUUAGUUCGGGAUAGCCACUGGAAACGGUGAUUAAUACCGGAUACUCCUUCUUGUUAUAAGACAAGUCGGGAAAGUUUUUCGCUAAGGGAUCAGUCUAUGUUCCAUCAGCUUGUUGGUGAGGUAAUGGCUCACCAAGGCUAUGACGGAUAUCUGGUUUGAGAGGAUGAUCAGACACACUGGAACUGAGACACGGUCCAGACUCCUACGGGAGGCAGCAGUGAGGAAUAUUGCACAAUGGAGGAAACUCUGAUGCAGCAACGCCGCGUGGAGGAUGACGCAUUUCGGUGUGUAAACUCCUUUUAUUAGGGAAGAUAAUGACGGUACCUAAUGAAUAAGCACCGGCUAACUCCGUGCCAGCAGCCGCGGUAAUACGGAGGGUGCAAGCGUUACUCGGAAUCACUGGGCGUAAAGGGUGCGUAGGCUGGCUUUUAAGUCAGAUGUGAAAUCCAAUGGCUCAACCAUUGAACUGCAUUUGAAACUGAAAGCCUAGAGUUCAGAAGGGGCAGAUGGAAUUAGUGGUGUAGGGGUAAAAUCCGUAGAUAUCACUAGGAAUAUCAAAAGCGAAGGCGAUCUGCUGGGAUGA